Molecule: ribosomal RNA, 447 nt
Filed under: uncultured bacterium
Lineage: Bacteria
Description: bacterial SSU rRNA
Rfam family: Bacterial small subunit ribosomal RNA
Source: RNAcentral
UCGGGAAUUUUGGGCAAUGGGCGAAAGCCUGACCCAGCAACGCCGCGUGAAGGAUGAAGUAUUUCGGUAUGUAAACUUCGAAAGAAUAGGAAGAAUAAAUGACGGUACUAUUUAUAAGGUCCGGCUAACUACGUGCCAGCAGCCGCGGUAAUACGUAGGGACCAAGCGUUGUUCGGAUUUACUGGGCGUAAAGGGCGCGUAGGCGGCAAUUCAAGUCAUCUGUGAAAUCUCCGGGCUUAACUUGGAACGGUCAGAUGAUACUGCUUUGCUAGAGUGCAGAAGGGGCAAUCGGAAUUCUUGGUGUAGCGGUGAAAUGCGUAGAUAUCAAGAGGAACACCUGAGGUGAAGACGGGUUGCUGGGCUGACACUGACGCUGAGGCGCGAAAGCCAGGGGAGCAAACGGGAUUAGAUACCCACGUAGUCCCUGAGCGGGCUGGCAAGGCGCAU